This 654-nucleotide unclassified non-coding RNA is filed under the name Hevea brasiliensis (rubber tree). The record is from RNAcentral. Lineage: Eukaryota; Viridiplantae; Streptophyta; Magnoliopsida; Malpighiales; Euphorbiaceae.
AUUUAGGCGGAGUUAACCAUAAUCCAAUCCAAACCAAAAAUUCUGUUUUAAUUGAUAAUGAUCGGGUCGGUGAUUUAUUUGUUUCAAAUUCAUUUUUAUAGCCGAUUUGGUUUCAUCUAACCAACACCUGAAUUCUAUCUCUCACCCUUUGCCACGGCAGACAGCUCAAGGGCCUCCAUCGUCGCAACUGGCACCACUAUUUUCGUUUCAAUUUACUUUUGUUCACUGCUGGCUAGUUUUCCUUUCAAUCUCUGUUCAUUUCUUGCUAGGGUUUUCAGUGAUGAUUUUAUACCUAAUGUUUCAUUUCUUGUAGCAUCUCUUUGAAACCUUUCAUAACAUCUCAAAUUGUAUCCAAACUCAUUUCUCCAAUUUCAUAGCCCAACCUCUAUGCCUCCCACCUUUGGCAUAAACCCACUCUUCUCCAUUUCAUCAAUCACCUAAAGUAAAACCAUCAACUGCAAACACUACUCGUCUCCAACUAAUUAAAGACAUUCUUAACAAGUGAACCCAUUUGCUCUUUCUUAUCCUAAAGUGAAUUUGGACUUGAGUUUCAGUUAUUAAUUUUGAUGCAUGUUGUUGCUGGGUUUGUAUGGGACUUAGAGAUUAGGCUUAGUAGCUCUUUGACAAAAUUCCUCAAUGGUGACUGAGUAAAAU